GUAAAAAACUACAAUUUUUUCCCUAAAACUACAACAUACAAUUAUGAUUGCUAGUAUUCAAGUUAUAAUUGACGACUAAUAAUUUUUUUUUAGUUUAACUAUAUUUGGAUGGGAGUUGAAGAGUUUAUAAUUUUGACUUUUGGUCACAUAUGCAUACAAUUAGGGGAAAUAAUUUUGCAUUAAUAAUACAAAAAUUAAAUAAUCAUUAUAUAGUACUACAAGAAUUUUAGGCUUUUAUGUCAGUUGAAAAAAGUGAAAUCGGAUGUAUAAUAUCGGUUUUUUUUUAAAAGCAGAUCUUUAACAUCGGUUUAAAACGGACAUUGUAGGGAUACCUUUAAUUUCGGUUUUAAACCGACAUUAAAGACCCGCUUCACUUUUUCCUCUAACUUUCUAUUUAUCCCCCAUUUUUUUUCAUUUCCCUCUUCACUCUCCCUCUCUUUUCUUUUUCCUUCAUUCUCAAACUUCCUUCUUCAGACCCUAUUCUUUCUCACUCCUCUCUUCCAAAGUGGAUUUGCUGGUUGUUCAGUCGGAUCUGCUGCAUAUUUCGUCAUCAUUCGCGUGUCUCCAAAUCUGUCAUUCGCCGGAUCUACUGUUCGUUUUGUUCGCGUGUCUCUAGAUCUGUCGCCGUCAUUCGCAUGUCUCCAGAUCUUCCGCUGUCGUUUGUAUGUCUCCAGAUCUACCGCCAUCGUUCGCCAGAUCUGCCACCGUCGUCGUUCGUCGUUCAUUCCGCCACCGGAUCAGGUGCAUUCACCUAGCCAUCAGCAUCUUUUUGUUUGCGUUUCUGUCUAGGUUUCCGUUGCCAUCUUUGUUAGUCAUUUGCAGGUCCCUGUCCACCGCACUGCUGUCACCAUUAUGUUUAAUAUGCUCUUUUCCCCUUCUUUUUCCAUCGCUGUCACCAUCAAUAUGCUCUUCUUCUCUUUCCUCUCUUAAACUCAUAACAAUUUUUGUUCUUAUGUUUACGCCUCUCAACUGCUUGUGUAAAUGUCUCAAUGAAAGCCAGUUGCGGUUUCACUCCAAUAUAUCUCUCUACUCCUAAAUUUGGGCCUUUUUGUGUCUAUGGCCUUUGAAAUUCGAUUUGAUUAAUAAUUUUGUUGUAUAUCAUUUGUUGAAUUACUUGAAGUUCUAGUGCAAAACUACUUGCUAUCUUUUGUGAUAACAUCCUUAAGAAAGGUAGGAGUGAGAAGCUGAGCGACAAAGCAAUUGAGGAAACCCUUGAGAAGAUGCAGGAUCCAUUUGCUCAUUCAUAUAAUUUUCUCCUUCAACAUCAUCAUCUUCAUCAGUCUGCUCUCUUGAUGAUGAUAUAUUUGCUUAGCUGACCAAAAUUCCAGCCUCUUUUGUCAAACAAGUGUUGGACUAGCGUGGUUGGCUAGAGAAAAUAGUACUCGUUUGUAGUAUCAAUUGUGUCUCCACCGAAGCGCCACAACCAUGCUUGCAAUAAAGAGGUUCAAGGUAAAUUUUUUAUUUUGUUGUGGUAGCAUCGUUAUGCUGUCGAAAAUUUUCCAU
Long non-coding RNA from Benincasa hispida (wax gourd), 1503 nucleotides. RefSeq lists it as uncharacterized. The record is from RefSeq and is a predicted model, not a curated record. NCBI's taxonomy places the organism in Eukaryota, Viridiplantae, Streptophyta, Magnoliopsida, Cucurbitales, Cucurbitaceae.